UGAAUUGCUAGUUGAGCAAAGAGAUCUCAAUCAAGAUCCAAAUUUAUAGUUAUAACAUUCUUACGCGUCUUCUUUUUCAUUGACUUUUCCGUUUCAAACUUCAAAAUUUUCUUUUCAUUUAUUUAUGAUGGUUCUUAAUCAAAAUACAAAAAAAAAAAAAAAAAAUCAAAAUACCAAGAGAGUGAAGUGGGAAAAUGGUCACAUAAAUUUUUCUUUUAAAUUUAUUAAAUGAAUGUAAUUAUGACAACAUGUUAUAUAUAUACGUCAUAUUUCUUCAAAUCAGAUCAUCA
RNAcentral lists this long non-coding RNA (290 nucleotides) under Capsella rubella. Its description in RNAcentral is "long non-coding RNA (CRUB_LNC004368)". Lineage: Eukaryota; Viridiplantae; Streptophyta; Magnoliopsida; Brassicales; Brassicaceae. The record is from RNAcentral.